Molecule: small RNA, 83 nt
Filed under: Marmota monax (woodchuck)
Lineage: Eukaryota; Metazoa; Chordata; Mammalia; Rodentia; Sciuridae
Source: RNAcentral
GCCAGGCACAGUGGCACAUGCCUGUAAUCCCAGCAGCUUGGGAGGCUGAGGCAGGAGGAUGGAGAGUUCAAAGCCAGCCUCAG